GGAAGGAAGGAAGGAAGGAAGGAGGGGAGGGGAGGGGAGGGAGGGAGGGAGGGAGGAAAGGAAGGAAGGGAAGAAAGGGAGGGAAGGGAAGAAAGGGAAGGAAGGGAAGGAAGGAAGAAAGAAAGAGAGAAAAGAAAGUUCUAUGAAGAGAAUGAAAACAAGUGAUAUAAUGAGUGGAGGAGAGUGGACAAGCUAUUUUAGCAGGAUUGGUCAAGGAAAUCCUCUCUGAAAGGUGACAAGUUGAGAGUUGAAUAAUGCAGAAGUUAUGUGGAUUAAGAAAAACAAAAACAAACAAAACCUCAAAACAAGAACUAAAAUAAUCAUUGAUGAGUAAAAGCAAUAAAAUUCAUCCUGAAGACACCUGGUGCAAGAAGGGACCUAUUCCAUCUGCAAGUGAAACUCACUCACUUCCUUUCUCCAGAAAGAAAACUGAAGCCUGGAGAGGUAAAGAGACUUACCUAAGGCCAGUUGGCAAAAGACUCUUAACCUCCUGACCUCCAACUCCACUCCCUACUGGAAGAAUUUAUUUGAAUCUCUCUUUUCCUUGGCUAAGAAGAAUGAAGAGGCAGGAGACUUGGGGGACCCCUUAACUGGGGAUAAUUACUGGGACAAAUCAGCCAGCACAAAGAGGAGGCACUAAACAAUCAGUCCUGGUCUCUGUUAUCAGAGACUUUUGAUGCUACCAUUGGAGUCAGACAAGCAGACAAACAUCAACAAAAUGAUUAUAAACUAUGACACACUAUGAUGGGAAAGAAGGAGGCUGACAGAGAGGACAUUGGCAGGAAGGAGCCCUACUGUAGAUGUGGUGGUCAGAGAAGGGCCUUUGUGAGAAGCUGACACAUAAUCUCACAGUUGAAGUUGUGAGAAGGAGCUGGUCCUCCAGAGAGAAGUAGGAAGAGCGCUCCAGCAGAAUCUCUGGACAAGUGCAGCUACGACUGCUGCUGGGACCGCGAUACUGUGAUGAGACUUUGCAUAUUUAAAAGGAUGUCGAGAGAGGAGGAGGAAUGAUAAAUGAACUCAGGAAGAUGUGAUGUCUUCUGUGAUGACACUAAUAGAUGGAAUGCAGAAUUCAGCUCCAAUACUUAGGGUUGGAAACCAAACAUAAACAAGCAAGCAAGGAAAAUGAAAAGGAAUGUGUGUGUGUGUGUGUGUGUGUGUGUGUGUGUGUGUGUGUAGGUGUGAGAGUAUAUGAAAUACAUGAAAAGAUAAAAAGUUAGAUGCUGCUAAAGGGACAGACAUGUAGGAAUUUUACAUUAGGGUUGUUCUGAUUUUCAUUUUCUUGCCUUUUAAAAUUUAAUGAUAAACAAGUCUCCAGAGAUUUUUACAGCCUGGGAGACCACUGGUAAGACAACAAUAUAGGUGGUCCUCCAGCAGGAUCUAAAUCAGAGCCUUCAUAGUGGACUGUCGGGCCAGGUGCAGCUGUAGACAAUGCAUCUUCAGGAGUGGGGUGAAGAAAUUUAAUGGACUAGUAAUGCAACAGGAGGUAGAAGAAAAGUGUUCUCUCACUAAAGCAUGGUGGGUGUUUUCAAAAUGUUUAAAAAACAUUUUUAGGCCGGGCACAGUGGCUCACACCUGUAAUCUCAGAGCUUGGGGUGGCUGAGGACCCAAAAGGAGGAUCCCUUGAUGCCAGGAGUUGUAGACCAGCCUGGUCUAACAUAGCAAUACCCUGUCUCUAAAAAAAAAAAAAAAAAAAAAAAUUAAUUAGCCAGGCAGGUGACAAGUGCCUGUAGUCCCAGUUACUCAGGAGGAUAAGGCAGGAGGAUCGCUUGAACCCAAGAAUUUGAGGUUGUGGUAAGCUGUGAUCGUGCCAUUGCACUCCAGCCUGGGUGACAGAGUAAGACCUCAAUUCUUUUUUUUUUUUUUUUUUUUUUUUUGAGGCAGAGCCUUGCUCUGUUGCCCAGGCUGGAGUGCAGUGGCGCGAUCUCGGUUCACUGCAAGCUCCGCCUCCCGGGUUCACGCCAUUCUCCUGCCUCAGCCUCCUGAGUAGCUGGGACUACAGGCACCCACCACCACGCCCAGCUAAUUUUUGGUGUUUCUAGUAGAGAUGGGGUUUCACCAUGUUAGCCAGGAUGGUCUCGAUCUCCUGACCUCGUGAUGCACCUGCCUCGGCCUCCCAAAAUGCUGGGAUUACAGGCGUGAGCCACCGCGCCUGGCCAGACCUCAAUUCUUUAAAAACCAAUUGUGUUAUGCUUUUGGUUGCUGGGUUCUUAGAAGGAGGUUCUCAAGGUGGCAAGUCAGAGACAUUCUGUUCUGUCUGUCAGAAAUGCAAAAUAAUGGAGCAAAAUUCCAAAGAUAAAGUGAAAAAUAUGGCAAUCAGGAUAGCAAGAGCUGAGUGAAUGGUGUGAGUUUGAGGAGGUGUUUUCGAUUAACUUGUUUUAACAUUGAGCUGUAAAAAGAAGUUAAGAUAGGGAAGGAUGGGGUGAAAUAUUGCCUGGUCUCCAACUGAAACACAUGGGCCUGAGAUAUGGUGAAGUUUUACUAAUGGGAUGAAAAAGUGGAGUAGGCCUGGUGUGGAGGAGCACAGCAUCCUGAGCCUCGGAAGUGAUUCAGGUUAAAGGGCCUCUAAGGCUACACUCUCAGAGCCUUGGAAGAGCUACCUGGCUUGAGCUCUACUCAUAGCUACUUUUCUAUCCCCUGGUUGUCAGCUCUUCAGCCCUUUAUUCAUUCAAAAAAUAUUUAUUGAUGGCCUACUAAAUGACAGGCCCUGGGUGAACAGCUGUGAAAAAAAAAUGGGCAAAUGUCUCUGCCCUCCUGGGAUUCAUAUACUAAAGGGUCAAGAAUAUAAGAAUUUAUUAAAAGAACAGUCCAUGGAGGAAAAAAUGAAGCACAAGUAUAAUGGAUCUAUUGACCUGUGUAAUGACCCCAGAUCAAGACCCUGAUCACCCCAUUUAUUUGGUGCCUGUUAUUGUAAUGUCUUCCGCCAUCUGUUAUUACUACUUACCACCUCUCCUCUGAGACGUAUGGUCCAAGCCACAUACCCUCAAAAAAAAAUCUGUAUUGAAGUAUAAUUUAUGUACCAUAAGGUUCACCUAUUUUGAGUGUAUAAUUCAAUGAUUUUUAAUAAAUGUAUAGAGUUGUAUGGUCUUAUCAUUACAA
Long non-coding RNA from Homo sapiens (human), 3096 nucleotides. RefSeq lists it as uncharacterized. The transcript has 4 exons. NCBI's taxonomy places the organism in Eukaryota, Metazoa, Chordata, Mammalia, Primates, Hominidae. The record is from RefSeq and is a predicted model, not a curated record.